CCAGGUCUUGACAUCCCGAUGCUAUUUCUAGAGAUAGAAAGUUACUUCGGUACAUCGGUGACAGGUGGUGCAUGGUUGUCGUCAGCUCGUGUCGUGAGAUGUUGGGUUAAGUCCCGCAGCGAGCGCAACCCCCUAUUGUUUAGUUGCCAUCAUUCAGUUGGGCACUCUAGCGAGACUGCCGGUAAUAAACCGGAGGAAGGUGGGGAUGACGUCAAAUCAUCAUGCCCCUUAUGACCUGGGCUACACACGUGCUACAAUGGUUGGUACAACGAGUUGCGAGUCGGUGACGGCGAGCUAAUCUCUUAAAGCCAAUCUCAGUUCGGAUUGUAGGCUGCAACUCGCCUACAUGAAGUCGGAAUCGCUAGUAAUCGCGGAUCAGCACGCCGCGGUGAAUACGUUCCCGGGCCUU
RNAcentral lists this ribosomal RNA (409 nucleotides) under uncultured Streptococcus sp. RNAcentral's name for it is "bacterial SSU rRNA". It matches the Rfam family "Bacterial small subunit ribosomal RNA", at positions 974 to 1382 of the family's 1533-position model. Lineage: Bacteria; Bacillati; Bacillota; Bacilli; Lactobacillales; Streptococcaceae. The record is from RNAcentral.